This 210-nucleotide long non-coding RNA is filed under the name Lathyrus oleraceus (garden pea). RNAcentral's name for it is "Pisum sativum (pea) long non-coding RNA (PSAT_LNC034826)". Lineage: Eukaryota; Viridiplantae; Streptophyta; Magnoliopsida; Fabales; Fabaceae. The record is from RNAcentral.
AAUUCAACGGUUUAUCACUACCCAUUACAUGCUAACCCAUAAUACCCAUUAAACGACGAUAAACCCCCUUACCUGAGUUAAUCCGGCGAAUCUUUAGGCUCCAAGCUCUUCUCUUCUUCAACCCUCUUCCUCUUGCUCUGCCUCUUGCCCUUUUCCUCUUUCAGUCGCUUCUCUGAGUUUCACGUGAAAACCUUAUUUUCCAAAAUGAAC